RNAcentral lists this transfer RNA (98 nucleotides) under Brevundimonas vesicularis. RNAcentral describes it as "tRNA-???(ttcg)". The record is from RNAcentral. Lineage: Bacteria; Pseudomonadati; Pseudomonadota; Alphaproteobacteria; Caulobacterales; Caulobacteraceae.
CCGCCUUCAUGGACGGGUCGGCCGAGAUCAUCGGCUUUUCGUCGUCGGCGACGGCCGACAGGACGGCGGCGAUCAGUUCGGCGUCCGGCGGAAGCGGG